CACGUAAGUAAUCUACCUUUGAGUGGGGAAUAACGUCCGGAAACGGGCGCUAAUACCGCAUAAUGCAGCGGCACCGCAGGGUGACAGUUGUUAAAGGAGCAAUCCGCUUAAAGAGGAGCUUGCGGCAGAUUAGCUAGUUGGUAAGGUAAUGGCUUACCAAGGCUACGAUCUGUAUCCGGCCUGAGAGGGCGGUCGGACACACUGACACUGAAUAACGGGUCAGACUCCUACGGGAGGCAGCAGUCGGGAAUUUUGGGCAAUGGGCGAAAGCCUGACCCAGCAACGCCGCGUGAAGGAUGA
This 300-nucleotide ribosomal RNA is filed under the name uncultured Chloracidobacterium sp. Its description in RNAcentral is "bacterial SSU rRNA". It matches the Rfam family "Bacterial small subunit ribosomal RNA", at positions 114 to 411 of the family's 1533-position model. Lineage: Bacteria; Pseudomonadati; Acidobacteriota; Blastocatellia; Chloracidobacteriales; Chloracidobacteriaceae. The record is from RNAcentral.